GUGCUCGCUUCAGCAGCACAUUACUAAAAUUGGAACGAUAUAAAGAAGACUAACAUGGCCCCUGUGCAAGAAUACAAAGCUUACUACUUCCCAUGUCUAU
Molecule: small nuclear RNA, 100 nt
Organism: Mesocricetus auratus (golden hamster)
Lineage: Eukaryota; Metazoa; Chordata; Mammalia; Rodentia; Cricetidae
Source: Ensembl